UUUCUUUUCUAUUCUUCUUCUUUCUCUUUCCUCUUCUUCUUCCUCUUCUUCCUCUCUUUCCUCUGUUCUUCACGCUCGUAUUACUGUGAGAGAUUUGUGAGUUGUUAGUGAGAUUUGAUUGAUAAGAAUCGACUGAUGAAGAUGUAUAUAUUAUAGAGGAGUCGAGGUUGUUGCUGAUGAAGAGGAAAAGAUGAUUCAGUGAACUAAGUUAGGGUUUUCUGUGAUUAUGAAUUGGGGUUUCGAAUUGGUGAUGAUUAAGAUGAAAUUGAAGAUGGGUUUGUUCUCAAUUAGUGUUUGAUGGAAGUUGUCGUGUUGUUCUGAAGCUGAUUUGAAGAUUGGAUUUACAGAGAUGCAUUUGAUUCGAGAAAUUGAUAAUUAGGGUUUGUAAGAAGAACUCAAAGAAUGAUUGGAAGAUGAAAUCAGAGUCGCAAGUGACUCAUUAUAGAUGAGUCUGUCAUGAAAUAGGGGAUAUGGUGGAAGAAUCAGUAGAAUCAGAAAUUAGGGUUCUUAGCAUAUUUGGGAAUUACGGUUCCUGUUUUUGAUUGAAGAUGAACUGGUUAGCAAUAGGAGAUGCAUUCCAAGUUUUAAUGGAUAUCAGCUGAGACGAACUGAAGGGAUGACUGGUGUUCUUGAUGUGGAUUGCCGAACCAAUUCAAAGGUAGUGGUAUUCUUAAAUUAAUUUAGUAAAGUUGUUCAUCUUCUUAGAUUAAGUAUAUGUGAAUGGUAAUGAAUAUGGAUUGUGUUGAGCUGUCUUGAGUGGUGUUGACGAGAAUUGAUUUGGAAACAACUCUUGGUUGGUUAUUGUAAACUCAGGAAGUUUGGGGCUGACCUUCAUGUAACUGGUAAGGGAGUAGAUCAGUUAUGUAAUUAUUAUGUGUUGAUGAAGUGGCGAAAUUGAGAAUAACGGUGUUUAGUGGAAUUGAUGCAUGAUCUUAACUGAAGUUGCUUGGUAGUAAUUGUACAAGGAUUAUGAUACGACCACUGGUGCAGGUAGUAUGUGCAAGAUACGGGUUUGUAUAAUUGAAAUUGAAGGUUGAGCUGGAUUGUUGUUGAAUUGAGCUGUAGAUGCAGUAAUUGAACUUCUAGAACUGGUGGAAUAUGAGUUAUUGAUUUAGGAGAAGGUUUAGGAAGAUGGCGGUGUUGUUGUUGAAGGAUGGUACUGUGUUUAGUCUCAACUGAGGUUUGCAGGGAAGAUAUGAAUAUGAAUGUUGUAAAUGAAUGUUUAGAUUGUUGCUGGAAAUUGGGGUUGUAUGUUAUAAUGGUUUAGAUGAUGUUGUUUCAUGGAAUUAAGAUAUUGCUGAGAUGAGUUUAUUUGUGGUGGUGAUGAUGUUGAUGUUACAGGGGAGGAGAUAUGUAUUAGUGGUGGUUUUGUAAUCUCAAUUCUGUAUUGAAGAAUGGUGGUGAUAUAUGUGUAGUUGUUAUUGUUGAACUGGAAUUGCAAGAAUGUGAAGUAGAGGUGUUGCUGGUGCUGAGAUGGAGUUGCAGGUGAUGUUGGUUUGAUAGGUACAGGGUCUUGGAGAUGUUAAGGAAGUUGAAUUGCAGGGAAUGGUUGAUUGGAAAGUUAAGUUAGUUUUACAGUUGGGAAUGUUUGGUUGCUCAAGAAGUAAGCUGAACUUAGUAGUAGGAAUAUAAUGGAGCUAAUCCAGACCUGAUGUGUGUAGUUAGUAAUGAUGGUUGUAGGGAAUGGCUAAUAGCUCCAGUGGAGGCUUGCUACUGCAAUUGCAGUUAGUCUAUAUUAACAACGAU
Papaver somniferum (opium poppy) is the source of this 1746-nucleotide long non-coding RNA. RefSeq lists it as uncharacterized. The transcript is spliced from 3 exons. NCBI's taxonomy places the organism in Eukaryota, Viridiplantae, Streptophyta, Magnoliopsida, Ranunculales, Papaveraceae. The record is from RefSeq and is a predicted model, not a curated record.